Dipodomys ordii (Ord's kangaroo rat) is the source of this 104-nucleotide small nuclear RNA. The record is from Ensembl. Lineage: Eukaryota; Metazoa; Chordata; Mammalia; Rodentia; Heteromyidae.
CUGCUCACUUUGGCAGCACAUAUACUAAAAUUGCAACAAUUCAGAGGUUAGCAUGGCCCCUGCACAAGGAUGACGUACACAUUCAUGAAGCAUCCCAUAAUAAG